RNAcentral lists this ribosomal RNA (901 nucleotides) under Enterococcus sp. C106. RNAcentral's name for it is "bacterial SSU rRNA". It matches the Rfam family "Bacterial small subunit ribosomal RNA", at positions 45 to 920 of the family's 1533-position model. Lineage: Bacteria; Bacillati; Bacillota; Bacilli; Lactobacillales; Enterococcaceae. The record is from RNAcentral.
UGCUAUACUGCAGUCGUACGCUUCUUUUUCCACCGGAGCUUGCUCCACCGGAAAAAGAAGAGUGGCGAACGGGUGAGUAACACGUGGGUAACCUGCCCAUCAGAAGGGGAUAACACUUGGAAACAGGUGCUAAUACCGUAUAACAAUCGAAACCGCAUGGUUUUGAUUUGAAAGGCGCUUUCGGGUGUCGCUGAUGGAUGGACCCGCGGUGCAUUAGCUAGUUGGUGAGGUAACGGCUCACCAAGGCCACGAUGCAUAGCCGACCUGAGAGGGUGAUCGGCCACAUUGGGACUGAGACACGGCCCAAACUCCUACGGGAGGCAGCAGUAGGGAAUCUUCGGCAAUGGACGAAAGUCUGACCGAGCAACGCCGCGUGAGUGAAGAAGGUUUUCGGAUCGUAAAACUCUGUUGUUAGAGAAGAACAAGGAUGAGAGUAACUGUUCAUCCCUUGACGGUAUCUAACCAGAAAGCCACGGCUAACUACGUGCCAGCAGCCGCGGUAAUACGUAGGUGGCAAGCGUUGUCCGGAUUUAUUGGGCGUAAAGCGAGCGCAGGCGGUUUCUUAAGUCUGAUGUGAAAGCCCCCGGCUCAACCGGGGAGGGUCAUUGGAAACUGGGAGACUUGAGUGCAGAAGAGGAGAGUGGAAUUCCAUGUGUAGCGGUGAAAUGCGUAGAUAUAUGGAGGAACACCAGUGGCGAAGGCGGCUCUCUGGUCUGUAACUGACGCUGAGGCUCGAAAGCGUGGGGAGCAAACAGGAUUAGAUACCCUGGUAGUCCACGCCGUAAACGAUGAGUGCUAAGUGUUGGAGGGUUUCCGCCCUUCAGUGCUGCAGCUAACGCAUUAAGCACUCCGCCUGGGGAGUACGACCGCAAGGUUGAAACUCAAAGGAAUUGACGGGGGC